CCACAACCCACAGCGCCCACAGCCGUCACAGCCUGAGGCCUCGGGUUCCCCUGGAGAGCAAGUGCUCUUCCUCCAAAGUGCCUUCCAGCUUUUCCAAGCCCUCAUCCCCCCUCCACAUUUCUGCUCCCCACUCCCCUGGAGCAGGAAUCCUUCCCCAGCUCAGGAAUGGUCCCAGCUCAGCAGACCCUUCUUCCUGGGAAUGCACUGCUCUGCCCUUGCCACCCUGUGUCCCCGGGGUCUCCUCACUUCGACCCCAGCGCUCUGCCCAGGGCCAGACUGGGAGGAGAGCUCAGCCCACUUCGGAAUGACUCCAGUCGCACGGGGAUGGAUGCGAGCGUCGAGCGCCAUGCCUGGAGCCCCAUCUGGCCGUGCUCCUCUGCUGCAAGGGACCAGCAACGCCCGGCACUGACCCGGCCUCGCGCCCUCCCUCUCCUCCCCAGCCCCGGGGCCUGACCGCACAGGUCUGGGCGGGCUCGGACCUUGGGCCUGGGGGCGAGAGGCAGGGGCUGCGUGGGUCCCGGGGGGCCCUUGGACGCCCCUCCGCGUUGGUCCCGGAUCAGCGAACCCCUCUGCCCCUGCCGCCCCGGGUCCCCGAGGUCUCCCUGCUGAGACCCCAGCGCUCUGCCCAAGGCUGGGCUGGGAGGAGAGCUCAGCCCACUUCGGAGUGACCGGAGGCGCGCCGGGAUGGGUGGGGACGGUUGUGGAGGAAGCGCUGGUGACAGUUGCCACGCGGAGGGCUCGUUGGUCUAGGGGUGUGAUUCUCUCUGGGUGCGCUGCCCCGGCGGGACACCUGUUUCCUCCGGCUGCUCCGAUUGAGAUGUGCUGCUUUAAACGUAAAAUACACGUCGGAUCUUGAAGACUCGUUGCAAGAAAAAAUCAGCUUGUCAAUCUACACAGAAGCAGCGAUCGGGAUUUUGGCUGGGAUAGCGUGGAUUCUGCAGCAUGGAUUCUGCGGAUCAGUUUGGGGUGAUUUGACGUCGUUACAGUAUUGGAUCUUCCAACCCAUGAGCAUGAUGUAUCCAUUUAUGAAGGUCUUCUUUAACUUAUCGCCAUAGUGUUUUAUAUUUUUCUGAGAUAGAUUUUGCACAUCUUUCAUCAGCAUUUUUGCUAAGUGUUUGAUGUUGUUGAUGCUAUUGUAAAUUGUAUCGUUUUGAAUAUAAUUUUCUAUUUUAUGCAGAUAUGUAAAAAUACAGUAAGUUUUUGCAUAUUAAUCUUGGAUUCAGUGACAUUGUGGAGCUCACAUAUUAUUUCUAAUCUAUAGAAUUUUCUACAUGUUCCAGCAUGUCAUCUGUGAAUAAUGGCAGUAUUAUUUAUAUCCAAUUCUUAUCUAUACUUUUUGAUUUUCUUGCCUUAUUGCACUAAGACCUCCAAUAAAGUGUUAA
Molecule: long non-coding RNA, 1382 nt
Filed under: Equus caballus (horse)
Lineage: Eukaryota; Metazoa; Chordata; Mammalia; Perissodactyla; Equidae
Description: lncRNA (ENSECAG00000048702.1)
Source: RNAcentral